This 254-nucleotide ribosomal RNA is filed under the name uncultured bacterium. RNAcentral's name for it is "partial 16S ribosomal RNA". It matches the Rfam family "Bacterial small subunit ribosomal RNA", at positions 524 to 777 of the family's 1533-position model. The record is from RNAcentral.
UACAGAGACUGCAAGCGUUAUUCGGAUUCACUGGGCGUAAAGGGUGCGCAGGUGGCCAAGUGUGUUAGGCGUGAAAGCCCGGGGCUUAACCCCGGAAUUGCACCUAAAACUACAUGGCUAGAGCAUUGGAGAGGGGAGCAGAAUUCACGGUGUAGCAGUGAAAUGCGUAGAUAUCGUGAGGAAUACCAGAGGCGAAGGCGGCUCCCUGGACAAUUGCUGACACUCAGGCACGAAAGCGUGGGGAGCAAACAGGG